GACGAACGCUGGUGGCGUGCUUAACACAUGCAAGUCGAACGGAAAGGCCCUGCUUUUGUGGGGUGCUCGAGUGGCGAACGGGUGAGUAACACGUGAGUAACCUGCCCUUGACUUUGGGAUAACUUCAGGAAACUGGGGCUAAUACCGGAUAGGAGCUCCUGCUGCAUGGUGGGGGUUGGAAAGUUUCGGCGGUUGGGGAUGGACUCGCGGCUUAUCAGCUUGUUGGCGGGGUAGUGGCUUACCAAGGCUUUGACGGGUAGCCGGCCUGAGAGGGUGACCGGCCACAUUGGGACUGAGAUACGGCCCAGACUCCUACGGGAGGCAGCAGUGGGGAAUAUUGCACAAUGGGCGGAAGCCUGAUGCAGCAACGCCGCGUGCGGGAUGACGGCCUUCGGGUUGUAAACCGCUUUCGCCUGUGACGAAGCGUGAGUGACGGUAAUGGGUAAAGAAGCACCGGCUAACUACGUG
Molecule: ribosomal RNA, 468 nt
Filed under: uncultured bacterium
Lineage: Bacteria
Description: partial 16S ribosomal RNA
Rfam family: Bacterial small subunit ribosomal RNA
Source: RNAcentral